Molecule: ribosomal RNA, 443 nt
Filed under: uncultured bacterium
Lineage: Bacteria
Description: partial 16S ribosomal RNA
Rfam family: Bacterial small subunit ribosomal RNA
Source: RNAcentral
CCUACGGGGGGCAGCAGUGGGGAAUAUUGGGCAAUGGAGGAAACUCUGACCCAGCAACGCCGCGUGAAUGAUGAAGGUCUUCGGAUUGUAAAGUUCUUUUCUAAGGGAAGAAGAAAGUGACGGUACCUUAGGAAUAAGCCUCGGCUAACUACGUGCCAGCAGCCGCGGUAAUACGUAGGAGGCAAGCGUUAUUCGGAAUGACUGGGCGUAAAGGGUGCGUAGGUGGUUUGACAAGUUGGUAGCGUAACUCCGGGGCUCAACCGUAAAAUUGCAAUUGAUACUGGCAGUCGUGAGUACAGUUGAGGUAGGCGGAAUUCGUGGUGUAGCGGUGAAAUGCUUAGAUAUCACGAAGAACUCCGAUGGCGAAGGCAGCUUACUAAACUGCCACUGACAUUGAUGCUCGAAAGUGUGGGUAUCAAACAGGAUUAGAUACCCCAGUAGUC